AAUCAGUGUGGCUGUCUGCCAUAUCAGCAAUUUGAAAAUAAUGCAAGAUGGAGCAACUAUAAUUUUGGAUCCCUGAGUUGUUGUUUCAUGAACGUGUUCUUACAUGCUGAAUUUAGACUCCUAUUGUCAGAUUUUGGAAUGGGUCCAUGGAGACUGGCUUUGAAAUCAGUGGAAGAACCACAACAAUUUCAUUCAAUCUAAAGAGGUCUUAUGUGCAACAAGAGUGGAAAUCAUGGCCCGAUUGUUCACUGCCCCAAUUAAGGACCUCUAAAGAGGAAGUAUAACUACCGCAUCGAAUGAUCACGUAACGGGGUAGUGACUAGAGAUUCAACCUUCUCAAUGAUUUGAUGACUACUUGACAGAAGAGUGGAUGGGCCGUGAGUAAAACUGAGCAAACCUCACAAUAUGCAAGUAUGAAAGGAUGUUUUGCAAGGGGCUGAAGUCAUGAAGCCAAGUUACAACUUAGAAAAGUGGAGACGAUCACAUCUCCCUUGGAUCUGAGGCCCCACACCAGACUAGCAAACCAAUCGACAAGGAAGCUUCUUGAACUUUUCUUCAACCUCAGAGAAUCUGACUCAGCGGCUCUGGCGUGAGACCAGAGGGCACUGUGUGAAAAAGUCUCCCAAGUGAGUGUGAGAAUCAGCCAGAUUUGGGAAGCAUGGUCUCAGGCCAGCAUUGCCUGCAGGGACUAGCAGUUCCAUGGG
This is a long non-coding RNA of Globicephala melas (long-finned pilot whale), 704 nucleotides long. RefSeq lists it as uncharacterized. Lineage: Eukaryota; Metazoa; Chordata; Mammalia; Artiodactyla; Delphinidae. The record is from RefSeq and is a predicted model, not a curated record.